Molecule: small nuclear RNA, 91 nt
Filed under: Castor canadensis (American beaver)
Lineage: Eukaryota; Metazoa; Chordata; Mammalia; Rodentia; Castoridae
Source: RNAcentral
AUGCCCACCUUAGCAGCAUAUAUACUAAAAUUGGAAACACUACAGAGAUUAGCAAGGAUGACACGAAAUUUGUGAGGCAUUCCAUAUUUAA